Non-coding RNA from Podarcis lilfordi (Lilford's wall lizard), 67 nucleotides. The record is from the annotation of a GenBank genome assembly. Lineage: Eukaryota; Metazoa; Chordata; Lepidosauria; Squamata; Lacertidae.
ACAGGUCAGUUGGUAGAGCAUGUGACUCUUAAUCUUGGGGUAAUGGGUUCAAGCCCCAUGUUGGGCA